ACGAUUAGAGUUUGAUCAUGGCUCAGGACGAACGCUGGCGGCGUGCCUAACACAUGCAAGUCGAGCGGAGUAUUAGCAAUAAUACUUAGCGGCGGACGGGUGAGUAACACGCGGGCAACCUGCCCUUGAGAGGGGGAUAACACGGAGAAAUUCGUGCUAAUACCGCAUAACCUUUAGCUGUUGCAUGACAGCUUUAGCAAAGAUUUAUCGCUCAAGGAUGGGCCCGCGUCCCAUUAGUUAGUUGGUGAGGUAACGGCUCACCAAGACCGCGAUGGGUAGCCGACCUGAGAGGGUGAUCGGCCACAUUGGAACUGAGACACGGUCCAGACUCCUACGGGAGGCAGCAGUGGGGAAUAUUGCACAAUGGGGGAAACCCUGAUGCAGCAACGCCGCGUGAGCGAUGAAGGCCUUCGGGUUGUAAAGCUCUGUCUUCGCUGACGAUAAUGACGGUAAGCGAGGAGGAAGCCACGGCUAACUACGUGCCAGCAGCCGCGGUAAUACGUAGGUGGCAAGCGUUGUCCGGAAUUACUGGGCGUAAAGGAUGCGUAGGCGGUGAUUUAAGUGGGAUGUGAAAUACCCGGGCUCAACUCGGGAAUGGCAUUCCAAACUGGAUUGCUAGAGUGCAGGAGAGGAAAGUGGAAUUCCCAGUGUAGCGGUGAAAUGCGUAGAGAUUGGGAGGAACACCAGUGGCGAAGGCGACUUUCUGGACUGUAACUGACGCUGAGGCAUGAAAGUGUGGGGAGCAAACAGGAUUAGAUACCCUGGUAGUCCACACCGUAAACUAUGAGUACUAGGUGUAGGGGGCGAAGCCCUCUGUGCCGCAGUUAACACAUUAAGUACUCCGCCUGGGAAGUACGAUCGCAAGAUUAAAACUCAAAUGAAUUGACGGAAUCU
RNAcentral lists this ribosomal RNA (894 nucleotides) under uncultured bacterium. Its description in RNAcentral is "bacterial SSU rRNA". It matches the Rfam family "Bacterial small subunit ribosomal RNA", at positions 1 to 921 of the family's 1533-position model. The record is from RNAcentral.